GUCGAGCGGACUGAUUAAAAGCUUGCUUUUAUGAAGUCAGCGGCGGACGGGUGAGUAACACGUGGGCAACCUGCCUGUAAGACUGGGAUAACUUCGGGAAACCGGAGCUAAUACCGGAUAAUACUAGGAACCUCCUGGUUCCUUGUUGAAAGAUGGUUUCGGCUAUCACUUACAGAUGGGCCCGCGGCGCAUUAGCUAGUUGGUGAGGUAACGGCUCACCAAGGCGACGAUGCGUAGCCGACCUGAGAGGGUGAUCGGCCACACUGGGACUGAGACACGGCCCAGACUCCUACGGGAGGCAGCAGUAGGGAAUCUUCCACAAUGGACGAAAGUCUGAUGGAGCAACGCCGCGUGAGCGAUGAAGGCCUUCGGGUCGUAAAGCUCUGUUGUUAGGGAAGAACAAGUGCGAGAGUAACUGCUCGCACCUUGACGGUACCUAACCAGAAAGCCACGGCUAACUACGUGCCAGCAGCCGCGGUAAUACGUAGGUGGCAAGCGUUGUCCGGAAUUAUUGGGCGU
Molecule: ribosomal RNA, 519 nt
Filed under: Bacillus sp. CH326a_11D
Lineage: Bacteria; Bacillati; Bacillota; Bacilli; Caryophanales; Bacillaceae
Description: bacterial SSU rRNA
Rfam family: Bacterial small subunit ribosomal RNA
Source: RNAcentral